GGGCAAUUUAAACGUAUAGUGUGAGAUAACACAUCACAUACGACCAGUAAAAGUGUCUGCUCGACUUUAGUCUUAUUUACAAAAAGUAUGAAAUCGCUGGUGCAUGAAGACCACACGAUAUAUAUAGCUGGGCAAAAUGAUUCAUACUGUGAUGUUUUUGUAUCACAAUAUAUUGUAUUUGAAUAUAUUGUCCAUCCCUAGUUGUUAUUAUUUGGUACUUUGUCUCACAGCUGGUCAGCUGGACCAUGGCUUGGUGCUUGGAAUAACUGUCCCAGUCACUGUUGUCAUCCUCCUCCUCCUCAUCAUCAUCACCUACUUAAUCCGGAGACGCAGGUUAAAAAGACAAGGAAAUGAACCAAACCAUAUCUAUGAUGAGAUACAGAAUGAGUUAGUGCCUCAAACUGCAACAGGUGCACUUCGGCCCGCUGGAGGAACUGUGUACUAUUUGGCAACGUCUCCAGGUACAUGGUCUUUAGGGCACACAGACAAACUGAACUGUCCACCAU
Long non-coding RNA from Monopterus albus (swamp eel), 506 nucleotides. RefSeq lists it as uncharacterized. Lineage: Eukaryota; Metazoa; Chordata; Actinopteri; Synbranchiformes; Synbranchidae. The transcript is spliced from 3 exons. The record is from RefSeq and is a predicted model, not a curated record.